RNAcentral lists this ribosomal RNA (301 nucleotides) under uncultured bacterium. Its description in RNAcentral is "partial 16S ribosomal RNA". It matches the Rfam family "Bacterial small subunit ribosomal RNA", at positions 509 to 807 of the family's 1533-position model. The record is from RNAcentral.
CAGUCGCCGCGGUAAUACGAGGGGGGCAAGCGUUGUUCGGAAUUAUUGGGCGUAAAGGGCGCGUAGGCGGUUUGGCAAGUUUCGUGUGAAAUCUUCGGGCUCAACUCGAAGUCUGCACGGAAAACUGCCGGGCUUGAGUAUGGGAGAGGUGAGUGGAAUUUCCGGUGUAGCGGUGAAAUGCGUAGAUAUCGGAAGGAACACCUGUGGCGAAAGCGGCUCACUGGACCAUAACUGACGCUGAGGCGCGAAAGCUAGGGGAGCAAACAGGAUUAGAUACCCCCGUAGUCCCUGUCUCUUAUAC